CUGAUUGUGCCAUGCGUCUUCCAAGUAAAAAAUGGUGUAAGAUACCUAAAUGAAAUAGUGGGAGUGCACUUUGGGUGUUUGAAAUCAAUGGAAGCCUCAGCUCAGAAAGCAUUUGUUACCCUGUUAGUUGCUUGCUCCACUUGCACAAUGGUUCACAAACCAACUGAAUGGAUACAAAGGCACUAGCUUUAGAGUUAUUUCACUGUCAGUAAUCCAAAAUAGAGGAUAGCACCAGCACAUAUAUUCGCAUCACAAAACAUUAUCAAGAUUGUUCUUCGCAAGGAUCACUCCAUCCUUCUAUUUAGAUUUUGAUUUGAUUCUUGUCUCUAUA
This 331-nucleotide long non-coding RNA is filed under the name Setaria viridis. Its description in RNAcentral is "long non-coding RNA (SVIR_LNC008009)". Lineage: Eukaryota; Viridiplantae; Streptophyta; Magnoliopsida; Poales; Poaceae. The record is from RNAcentral.